RNAcentral lists this long non-coding RNA (494 nucleotides) under Neogale vison (American mink). Its description in RNAcentral is "Neovison vison (American mink) lncRNA (ENSNVIG00000014877.1)". The record is from RNAcentral. Lineage: Eukaryota; Metazoa; Chordata; Mammalia; Carnivora; Mustelidae.
UGGCGAUUUCAUCCCGUAGGGUGCAUCCAUACAGGAAAGGCUUGAGAAAAAGGAGGAGCAGGACAAUGGCCUGGAUUUCUGGAGGCCUGAUUUAAAGCUGCUCACUUCUGCAGGGAAGGAAAGGAGGAGGAGACCGGCUCAAAUCUCUGGAGGACAGCCUGCUCUCUGCUAUAGGGCUUAAUAUCACUGAAACAAAGCAAGGAGGGAGAAAUUGCACCGUGCAGAUCCACUUCCAGUGGCAUCUCUGGUGGAGCUGGAAUUGCUGCUGAUCACCACCCUCAACAGGUCUGCACCCACCAUCUCCCAGCUUGGUUGUGCCUCUUCUGCACUUUGUGACACUGACUGAGGCUAGGCUUUGGAAGGAGAUUGAUUACUGGACUGGUGGUUGACUCUAACAUUUGUUUCCAACUAUACCACUUGAAUCACUGAAAGAUCACAGUGUGAAGAUAGAUCUUAGGUAGAGGCUGAGACCGGGUUGGUGUUACUUGACUGGG